UACGUAGGGCGCAAGCGUUGUCCGGAAUUAUUGGGCGUAAAGAGCUCGUAGGCGGCUUGUCGCGUCGGUUGUGAAAGCCCGGGGCUUAACCCCGGGUCUGCAGUCGAUACGGGCAGGCUAGAGUUCGGUAGGGGAGAUCGGAAUUCCUGGUGUAGCGGUGAAAUGCGUAGAGAUUGGAAAGAACACCGAUGGCGAAGGCACUUUACUGGGCUAUUACUAACACUGAGAGACGAAAGCUAGGGUAGCAAAUGGG
RNAcentral lists this ribosomal RNA (253 nucleotides) under uncultured bacterium. RNAcentral's name for it is "partial 16S ribosomal RNA". It matches the Rfam family "Bacterial small subunit ribosomal RNA", at positions 524 to 776 of the family's 1533-position model. The record is from RNAcentral.